Long non-coding RNA from Balaenoptera acutorostrata (minke whale), 435 nucleotides. RefSeq lists it as uncharacterized. NCBI's taxonomy places the organism in Eukaryota, Metazoa, Chordata, Mammalia, Artiodactyla, Balaenopteridae. The record is from RefSeq and is a predicted model, not a curated record. The transcript has 3 exons.
UCCCUAUCCUCCCUUAGGGAUGGAGAGGAAAGAAGAGCAAAGGCUGUAGCUCUGUCCUACUCCAUCAGAGAUUCUGGGACUGGGAAAAUGACCACCUUCACAUUUCUCCAAUCCUCUGAGGACCCCAGGACCCACGGUAUUGAGAAAAGCUUUGAUGGAGCCGGCUGGUAGAUCUCCACUCCAGAUUUUCCAGCUGUCCCUGUCCCCCCACCGCUCAGAGAGCAGGAUGCUGAGAUGGCUCGGUGAUGCAGAAGGGAAUCAUUCAUGAACCAAUUACAUUAGAAAAACAACCUCGAAUCCUCAGAAGAUCCCUGAAAAGUACAUACUGUUCCAACUUUAGAGAUAAGAAAACUGAGGCUCAGAGAGUGGUGAUACUGGAAACCAAGUCUUGAGGAUGGAACUGCCACAAAAAUGGAAGGAAACUGGACAUCUGAG